This 394-nucleotide RNase P RNA is filed under the name Desulfobacteraceae bacterium. RNAcentral describes it as "RNase P RNA component class A". It matches the Rfam family "Bacterial RNase P class A". Rfam says of the family: Ribonuclease P (RNase P) is a ubiquitous endoribonuclease, found in archaea, bacteria and eukarya as well as chloroplasts and mitochondria. Its best characterised activity is the generation of mature 5'-ends of tRNAs by cleaving the 5'-leader elements of precursor-tRNAs. Cellular RNase Ps are ribonucleoproteins. Lineage: Bacteria; Pseudomonadati; Thermodesulfobacteriota; Desulfobacteria; Desulfobacterales; Desulfobacteraceae. The record is from RNAcentral.
GAAGUGAGCCGGGUGAUCGCUGGGUCGAGUGACCCGGAGGAAAGUCCGAACACCGCAGGGCAGGGUGCUCCAUAACGUGGAGUCAUGGUGACGUGAAGGAAAGUGCAACAGAAAGUAAACCGCCGGUGUUUUCGUUGUCGACCUGACAAUGAAAACAUGGGUAAGGGUGAAACGGUGCGGUAAGAGCGCACCAGUUCCCCGGGUGACCGGGGAAGCUAGGUAAACCCCACCCGGUGCAAGACCAAAUAGGGGAGCGUUUGCGGGCGGCCCGUCCGAGCUCCCGGGUAGGUCGCAAGAGGUAACGGGCAAUCGUUACCCAUAGAUGAAUGAUCGCCGUCCGGCCACAGGGUAACCUGGACCGGAAACAGAAUUCGGCUUAUGGCUCGCUUCGACC